GAGGGUAUAGCUCAGUGGUAGAUUGCAUGCCUAGCAUGCAUGAGGUCCCGGGUUUAAGCCCAGUACCUCCA
RNAcentral lists this transfer RNA (71 nucleotides) under Camelus bactrianus (Bactrian camel). It matches the Rfam family "tRNA". From Rfam's summary of the family: Transfer RNA (tRNA) molecules are approximately 80 nucleotides in length. RNAcentral also lists the same sequence under 2 other names. Lineage: Eukaryota; Metazoa; Chordata; Mammalia; Artiodactyla; Camelidae. The record is from Rfam by way of RNAcentral.